GACGAACGCUGGCGGCGUGCUUAAUACAUGCAAGUCAACUGAACUUUAGGUAGCAAUAUUUAAAGGGAGGUGGCGCACGGGUGAGUAACACGUAGGUAAUCUGCCUUCAGGACUGACAUAAUUCCGCGAAAGCGGGACUAAAAUCAGAUGAUGCAGCGGCUCGACAUCGAGACAGUUGUUAAACCUUCGGGGCCUGAAGAUGAGCCUGCGUCUGAUUAGGUAGUUGGCGGGGUAAAAGCCCACCAAGCCUGCGAUCAGUAGCUGGUCUGAGAGGAUGAUCAGCCACACUGGAACUGAGACACGGUCCAGACUCUACGGGAGGCAGCAGUAAGGAAUAUUGCUCAAUGGCCGAAAGGCUGAAGCAGCAACG
This 370-nucleotide ribosomal RNA is filed under the name uncultured bacterium. Its description in RNAcentral is "bacterial SSU rRNA". It matches the Rfam family "Bacterial small subunit ribosomal RNA", at positions 28 to 396 of the family's 1533-position model. The record is from RNAcentral.